AAGUCGUAACAAGGUUUCCGUAGGUGAACCUGCGGAAGGAUCAUUAACACGUAUCCAACGUUAAACCCCCCGUGAACCUUCAGUGCGAGGGGGGCUCGCGCCCAGUGACCCGGUCGCCGGCCGUGUCGGCCUCUAGCGAUCGUGACUGCGCCAUUCGUACAGAGCUGGUGACACUUUCAGACACCAACAAGCAGAGGAAUGCCAGGCCACUUGCCUCGCGCUCAAGCACAGUCUACGCAGAAGUCCCUGAAUCAAAACUGUUCGGCAAUGAUUUACCAGGGAUUGCUACCUUUUCUCACGUCACCUUUGCAUGAAAACGGGCCUGCGCUUAAUUGUGCGGCCACCAAACUCGAACAACUGUUAACAAUGGAUAUCUUGGUUCUC
Molecule: unclassified non-coding RNA, 384 nt
Filed under: fungal sp.
Lineage: Eukaryota; Fungi
Description: partial internal transcribed spacer region
Rfam family: Eukaryotic small subunit ribosomal RNA (bases 1-46)
Source: RNAcentral